This 253-nucleotide ribosomal RNA is filed under the name uncultured bacterium. RNAcentral's name for it is "partial 16S ribosomal RNA". It matches the Rfam family "Bacterial small subunit ribosomal RNA", at positions 524 to 776 of the family's 1533-position model. The record is from RNAcentral.
UACGUAGGGGGCAAGCGUUGUCCGGAAUUAUUGGGCGUAAAGAGCUCGUAGGCGGUUUGUCACGUCUGCUGUGAAAUCCCGAGGCUCAACCGCGGGCCUGCAGCCGAUACGGGCAGGCUAGAGUUCGGUAGGGGAGACUGGAAUUCCUGGUGUAGCGGUGAAAUGCGCAGAUAUCAGGAGGAACACCGAUGGCGAAGGCAGGUCUCUGGGCCGAUACUGACGCUGAGGAGCGAAAGCGUGGGGAGCGAACAGG